Onychomys torridus (southern grasshopper mouse) is the source of this 106-nucleotide small nuclear RNA. The record is from RefSeq and is a predicted model, not a curated record. Lineage: Eukaryota; Metazoa; Chordata; Mammalia; Rodentia; Cricetidae.
GUGCUCACUUCAGCAGCACAUAUAUUAAAAUUGGAAUGAUAUAGAGAAUUAGCAUUGGCCCUGCUCAAGAUAGAUACACACACACACACACACACACACACACACA